GGGGCCCUAAGGGGGUGCUAUAAUGCAGUCGAGCGAACGGAUAAGGAGCUUGCUCCUGUUGAAGUUAGCGGCGGACGGGUGAGAAACACGUGGGUAACCUACCUAUAAGACUGGAAUAACUUCGGGAAACCGGAGCUAAUGCCGGAUAACAUUUGGAACCGCAUGGUUCUAAAGUAAAAGAUGGUUUUGCUAUCACUUAUAGAUGGACCCGCGCCGUAUUAGCUAGUUGGUAAGGUAACGGCUGACUGAAGUACUGCUAGCCAGACUGAGGAUGGCAUUCGGUCACGUUGUAGCUGAUCCUGCUUCUAACUUCGUACGGCAAGCCAGCAGUAUUGUAUUCUUUCGGCAAUGAAUGAAAGUUCGAUGAAGCACGCCUGCUGAGAGUGAAUGUUUUUCGGAUCGUACAUCUUCUGCUAGUGAGGCAAGAACCAGAUUGUGUAAGCUUACCUGUGCUACUUCCUGACCGGUACUUAAUCAGAAAACCACGACUUAAUUCGUGCCAGCAGCUCUGUAAUACGUAGGUGGCAAGUGUUAUUCAGGAAAUUAGUUGGCAGUAAAGCCGCGCGUAGGCGGUUUUCUUAGUUCUGAUGUGGAAAGCCCACGGCUCCACCGUGGAAGGGUCAUUGGAACUGGGAAACUUGAGUACAGAAGAGGAAAGUGGAAUUCCAUGUAGUAGCGUGAAUGCGCAGAGAUAUGGAGGAACACCAGUGGCGAAGGCGACUUUCUGGUCUGUAACUGACGCUGAUGUGCGAAAGCGUGGGGAUCAAACAGGAUUAGAUACCCCUGGUAGUCCACGCCGUAAACGAUGAGUGCUAAGUGUUAGGGGGUUUCCGCCCCUUAGUGCUGCAGCUAACGCAUUAAGCACUCCGCCUGGGGAGUACGACCGCAAGGUUGAAACUCAAAGGAAUUGACGGGGACCCGCACCAGCGGUGGAGCAUGUGGUUUAAUUCGAAGCAACGCGAAGAACCUUACCAAAUCUUGACAUCCUUUGAAAACUCUAGAGAUAGAGCCUUCCCCUUCGGGGGACAAAGUGACAGGUGGUGCAUGGUUGUCGUCAGCUCGUGUCGUGAGAUGUUGGGUUAAGUCCCGCAACGAGCGCAACCCUUAAACUUAGUUGCCAGCAUUUAGUUGGGCACUCUAGGUUGACUGCCGGUGACAAACCGGAGGAAGGUGGGGAUGACGUCAAAUCAUCAUGCCCCUUAUGAUUUGGGCUACACACGUGCUACAAUGGACAAUACAAAGGGCAGCUAAACCGCGAGGUCAUGCAAAUCCCAUAAAGUUGUUCUCAGUUCGGAUUGUAGUCUGCAACUCGACUACAUGAAGCUGGAAUCGCUAGUAAUCGUAGAUCAGCAUGCUACGGUGAAUACGUUCCCGGGUCUUGUACACACCGUCCGUCCCACCACGAGAGUUUGUAACACCCGAAGCCGGUGGAGUAACCAUUUAUGGAGCUAGCCGUCGAAGUGACAAAUUUCCACA
This 1476-nucleotide ribosomal RNA is filed under the name Staphylococcus equorum. RNAcentral's name for it is "bacterial SSU rRNA". It matches the Rfam family "Bacterial small subunit ribosomal RNA". The record is from RNAcentral. Lineage: Bacteria; Bacillati; Bacillota; Bacilli; Caryophanales; Staphylococcaceae.